GGCCCGUUAGCUCAGUUGGUUAGAGCGUCGUGCUAAUAACGCGAAGGUCGUGGGUUCGAUCGCCCCACGGGCCA
Molecule: transfer RNA, 74 nt
Filed under: Schistocerca americana (American grasshopper)
Lineage: Eukaryota; Metazoa; Arthropoda; Insecta; Orthoptera; Acrididae
Description: tRNA-Ile
Rfam family: tRNA
About the family: Transfer RNA (tRNA) molecules are approximately 80 nucleotides in length.
Source: RNAcentral